This 29-nucleotide non-coding RNA is filed under the name Rattus norvegicus (Norway rat). The record is from RNAcentral. Lineage: Eukaryota; Metazoa; Chordata; Mammalia; Rodentia; Muridae.
UGCUUUGGACUGCGUUUCAGUUCCUACUC